GUUGAUGAGCAGAGAUUUCCUCGGUUAUCAGGUUGGUUGCAAGACUUUUCAGGUGUUCCAAUUAUUAAAGAAAACUUCCCACCUCAUGAUAAAUUAGUCACCAGGUUCCGCAUCUUCCGGGAGAAAUUCAUCUCAGCUGCAGCUGCAUCCAAAUGAUUCACACUCUCAAUUGUUUCAGUGCAAAUGCUUGUACUACUAUAAGCAUUAUGAAAUAAGCAAGCAUUAAGAGUGAAUAGAAGGAUAUGUUUUCUAAACUAAUAUGAUAUUGUAAUAUUUUAGCGAAAUAAGAUAACAAUAUUUAGCCUUCUCAGGCCAAUUAUAUCCAUUAAUUUAAUUGAGUGAUGCCUAUUAAUUUGUUGUCUUAUUUAAACCCCAAGUUUCUUUUUUCUUCUAUAUAAAUAAAUGAAAGUAGAUGGAACAUUAAACAGACACCUAAUAUAGUAAAACUCCGGAGACAAGUGAGAUUUGCAUAUGAGUAUAUAUGCAACUGAGAAAACUCCACAUAACAACUAUUCCUUUGAAUAAUCUAUAUUCGAAGGAAAUUGUUUUCUCCUUUGUUUCUUUCUUCCUUUCUUCAAUAAGCAGCACGUGAAAAGGAAAUAUUCACAAUAAAACAGCCUUUUUUUCUCUUUGUUAGUUUCAAUCAAAACAAUAAUUCUGCAGACUCACAUCCAAGAAGCAGCUAUCUUAGGGGCACAAAUAUAUACACACUCAUAAUAAGAAUAUUAUAAGCAAUAGUUAAGACAUAAAUUGAAGUAACAUAUGAGCAUGCAUAGGAAUAUGGUAUUUAACCAGGAGAUCUGCAGCACAGGUUAAGCGAAUUAUCUCCAGCUUUCUUUCUCCAAGUUAAGGUCUCCAUACUGCUGUCAAAAGCCACCUUCAAUCAACAAGUAUUAAAAAAACAUCAACAAACUUAUAAUAAAUUCAUCCUGAAUGAGAAUCAAUGGACCUGGCACAUUAAAAAAAAAUUACACAGCUUCAAUCUUUUUUAAGAUAUCUGUAAUUAGAUUUGUCUAGUACGAGAGAACUGAAGUGAACAGGAACAUUUGCAUCAACUCCAUUAUCUUUUAGGUUCCUAGGACAAAAUUAUCCCAAUUGAUCAUUGCAUCAGCUAUAAACUUCACAACCAUAGUGCAGAACACUUUAAUGCCAGAAUGCAGGACCAACCAAUCUAAGAAAUUUUCUUUUCAACCUAUUAAGUUUGCUUUCCUUUUCCACACGUUGAGAAGCUUAUAAAUUGAGAAUACAGAACUAUCAUGAGAACAGUAAUGCAGUCAGCUAGCGUAUAGGUGCAGUCCAGGACUUGUGGUAACUUCCAGCCUAGAACAAGAUUCAUCUACAAAAGUUGUUCUUUAAUAUCUCUAUGGUGCAUCUUUUCCUCAUUGACAUUACUACACAAUGGAACUGAGUGUCUUGUUGCUCAUGAGCCAAAUCUUGAGAUUAAACCUAAGACAAUGUGCAAAGAAUUCAAUCCACCUGCUACUCUUAAUUACUAGGAGUUGUCUAGUUGAUCAUGAGACGUUAAGCUGCCCCGACAGUCUGCAAACAAAUAAAC
This 1555-nucleotide long non-coding RNA is filed under the name Carica papaya (papaya). Its description in RNAcentral is "long non-coding RNA (CPAP_LNC015628)". Lineage: Eukaryota; Viridiplantae; Streptophyta; Magnoliopsida; Brassicales; Caricaceae. The record is from RNAcentral.